Molecule: transfer RNA, 63 nt
Filed under: Erragonalia choui
Lineage: Eukaryota; Metazoa; Arthropoda; Insecta; Hemiptera; Cicadellidae
Description: tRNA-Glu
Rfam family: tRNA
About the family: Transfer RNA (tRNA) molecules are approximately 80 nucleotides in length. Their secondary structure includes four short double-helical elements and three loops (D, anti-codon, and T loops).
Source: RNAcentral
AUUUAUAUAGUUUAAUAAAACAUUUUACUUUCAUUAAAAAAAUGGUUUAAAAACCUAUAAAUU